Non-coding RNA from Python bivittatus (Burmese python), 5633 nucleotides. The record is from RefSeq and is a predicted model, not a curated record. Lineage: Eukaryota; Metazoa; Chordata; Lepidosauria; Squamata; Pythonidae.
CACGAUGCGACGCAAGAAUGUGAAAGGCUCCCGCCCGCCGCCAUUUUCUUUCUUUCUUGGCAGGCUAGGAGGACGGUAGGAAGUAGCGAAGGAGACAUGUCGGAUUAUUCUACGGUGCCCCCUCCUUCUUCGGGAGCACCCGGUGGAGGCGGAGGAGGUGGCGGGGCAGUCAAUGAUGCUUUUAAAGACGCGCUGCAACGGGCUAGGCAGAUUGCAGCAAAAAUUGGAAAUGAAUCAGGGACAUCUGUGAAUUCAAAUGAUUACAGUUAUGGGGGACAAAAAAGACCUCUUGAAGAUGGAGAUGGCUCUUGGACAAGUCCGAGCAGUACAACACACUGGGAGGGAAUGCCCUCUCCUUUUAAAGAUCAACCAGAGCCUAAGAAAGUUGCUCCCCCAAAUAAUGAUUCUUUUGGAAAUCAGUUACCACCCAUGCAUCAGCAACAGAGGUCUGUAAUGACAGAAGAAUACAAAGUUCCAGAUGGAAUGGUUGGAUUCAUAAUUGGCAGAGGAGGAGAACAGAUAUCUCGCAUACAGCAAGAAUCUGGAUGUAAAAUACAGAUUGCACCUGAUAGUGGUGGGCUUCCUGAAAGAUCUUGCAUGUUGACUGGAACGCCUGAGUCAGUACAAUCUGCAAAGAGAUUGCUUGACCAGAUUGUUGAAAAGGGAAGACCUACACCGGGAUUCCAUCAUGGUGAUGGCCCAGGAAAUGCCGUUCAGGAAAUCAUGAUUCCAGCUAGCAAAGCAGGAUUAGUUAUUGGAAAGGGUGGAGAGACAAUAAAACAACUUCAAGAGCGUGCAGGUGUUAAGAUGGUAAUGAUUCAAGAUGGACCACAGAACACUGGAGCAGAUAAACCUCUUAGGAUCACAGGAGAUCCUUACAAAGUCCAACAAGCCAAGGAAAUGGUUUUAGACUUAAUUCGUGAUCAAGGUGGCUUUAGAGAGGUGCGCAAUGAAUAUGGGUCAAGAAUAGGAGGCAAUGAAGGAUUAGAUGUGCCAAUACCACGGUUUGCAGUUGGUAUUGUAAUUGGAAGAAAUGGUGAAAUGAUAAAAAAGAUACAAAAUGAUGCUGGUGUAAGGAUUCAGUUUAAACCAGAUGAUGGAACAACUCCUGACAGAAUAGCCCAGAUCACGGGACCUCCAGAUAGAUGUCAACAUGCAGCUGAAAUUAUUACAGAUCUUCUUCGAAGUGUUCAGGCUGGCAAUCCUGGAGGUCCAGGGCCUGGCGGCCGUGGUAGAGGAAGAGGUCAGGGCAAUUGGAAUAUGGGACCACCUGGUGGACUGCAAGAAUUUAAUUUUAUUGUUCCCACUGGAAAAACUGGAUUAAUUAUUGGGAAAGGUGGUGAAACUAUCAAGAGCAUUAGUCAGCAGUCUGGUGCAAGAAUAGAACUUCAGAGAAAUCCUCCACCAAAUGCAGAUCCCAACAUGAAAUUAUUUACUAUUCGGGGGACACCACAACAGAUUGAUUAUGCUCGGCAGCUUAUAGAAGAAAAGAUUGGAGGUCCAGUAAAUCCUUUGGGGCCACCUGUGCCUCAUGGACCUCAUGGUGUUGUUCCUGGGCCACAUGGACCACCUGGGCCACCUCCUGGUGCUCCAAUGGGACCUUACAAUCCAGCUCCUUAUACCCCCGGCCCUCCUGGUCCUGCACCUCAUGGACCUCCAGCACCAUAUGCUCCACAAGGAUGGGGUAAUGCAUAUCCACACUGGCAACCACCAAAUCCCCCAGACCCUGGUAAGCCAGCAGAUCCUAAUUCAGCAGCAUGGGCAGCCUAUUACGCCCACUACUAUCAACAGCAAGCACAGCCACCCCCUGCAGCUCCACCUAGUGCGCCACCUGCAACUCAGACCAACGGACAAGGAGAUCAACCAAAUCCAGCACCAGCAGGGCAGGUAGAUUACACCAAGGCUUGGGAAGAGUACUAUAAAAAAAUGGGUCAACAAGGGCAGCCACAAGAUUAUUCAAAGGCUUGGGAGGAAUAUUACAAGAAGCAAGGUCAGGCUGUUCCAGCUCCAGCAGGAGCCCCACCGACAGGUCAGCCAGAUUACAGUGCAGCAUGGGCUGAAUACUAUAGACAGCAGGCAGCUUAUUAUGCCCAGACAAGUCCACAAGGAAUGCCACAACAUCCUCCAGCACCACAGGGCCAAUAAUAAGAAGUGGACAAUACAGUAUUUGCUUCAUUAUGUGGGGGAAAAAACCUUUGUUAAAUGUAUGGAUGCAGACGCCUUGAUGAAGAUCAUAAUUUUGUUUGGUUUAAAAAUAGUGUUUUUUGAAAUGUACAAAAUAUCUAUCACAACUGAUAGGAGGUAAUAUUUCUGUGUAGAAAUGGAAAUUGGUUUGUUUUUAGUACAUUAGUGUAGAUGUACACAUUCCAGCAAAUGUAUUUGCAACUAUUAUGUGGUCAAUGCUUUGUGAUAUAAAUGUACUUUUUCAAUGUAUACUUGAUCACUUUUAAAUGCUUGUUUUGUGCUUUGCAAUAAAUAAUAUGAAACCUCCUGUGUCGGUAAGUUGGAUAUGUGGGUACUCAGAGAAUUCAAGGAUUUUUUUUAGUAAUUCUGUACAUGUACACAAGUAAGACUUUUCCCCCCUCUUUUAAGUUCAGGCUUGAUGUUGGUAUUCUCCCCUUCCAGAAUAGGUAUAGAAGGAUCUCUUGUGAUUGUAUGUUGCUAUUUAGCAUUCUGAUAUCCUCCUCUUUCUACUUGUAUAAAAAUUGCAUGUAUGUGAAGGUAUUUCUUGACAUACUUCUGCAUUAACAGUUGAAAUUUCUUUUUUAUUCAUGACCACUGUCCCAGACCCGUAUAGCUGCUAUAGUUAACAUUUGUUUUAACAAUGAUUUAAUUCUUUAGUAUAUUUUUCAGAAACAUUAUUAAAGUCAGUUAUUUAGAAAAGCAAAAUGUGCUAAGCAGUUGGUUUGCAGCACUUUGCUACAGAAUUCAGUGUAGUAAGGAUGAUUAUGCUUUUUAGUUAUAAAACUGCAUUUGUUGUAGAAACAUGCUGUUUGAGUCUUGGAAUGCUUAAUGAAAAAAAGGUUUUUGCAGAUAAGGUCUGUUUUUAAAUGUUGAAGACUAGUUUUUAAGUUAUGUUUGAAAAGUCUCCGUCAUACAUUUUACUUUUAAUAAUUCUAAUUGAAAAUUGGUGUUCUGUUAAAAUCCACUGUUUGCUUUUUUGCAUAUAUUAGAUUACAUGCAAUACAGUCUGUCUUGCCAUUGUCUGUUGAAGUGCAGGUUUGAUCCAGCCAGUAUAGAACUAGCUCUGUAGGGGUGAGGAGGACUGUGCUGUGUAUCAUCCUUGAUUGUUCCUUCAAGGAGCAUUGCACUGUAAGUACAUCAGAAUGACAAAAUGAUGAACUGCAACAGUAUCUUUUUGUCAAUGUUCCACAUAAUGCAAAUGCCAUACCUGUGUGAAUAUUAUGUUGGAAUAAAAUACAGUGCUGAUAUUUUAGAAAAUCACAAUUGCUUCUUAAAUCAGAUACCUAGAUAUGCAUAAAUGUGUGUAUGUAUGGGUAAGUAUUUUGAGAUAUUUAGCUUUAGCUAAAGAAUUCAUCAAUGAACUAACAUUGUUCAUUAGGGUUUCAGAAAUGAGAUGUAUUCAGAUAUCAACUUAUACAUUGUUAACAUUUAAAAUGCUUGUCAGGAGGAAGUUGUUUUUGUCUUCAGUUGUCUGCAUAUAUUUAGUGAUACAGCUAUAUGCUAUUUUUCUAAAUCUUUUAUUAGCCUUAUCUUUAGAAAACCAUUUUGUUGUUUUGGAGUGUUCACUUAGAGUGGCUGCAACAGAAGAACCGAAUGUGGUCUGAAAUGAAGUAGUAUCGCAAAAAUAAUUAGAAAUGCAUUUGUUCUACUGUAGAAUCAGGAGGGAUUUUUUUUUAUCCCAGCUUAGUUUAGGAUUUACAUUUUGAAAAGACUACUAGAAGUUAAUAAAUAUAUAGAUAAGUAGGCUAUGAAGUCUCUAAAUCAAAUAUUUUGCAUGAUAAGUCUGUAGCUUAUUGGAAAAUGGUGUAGUUAUUAACUAAACAGAACAAACAUUCACCAGAUUCUUUAUCAUUCACCAAAUGGAGGCUGUUGAUUUUGAUUCAUUUAAAGUAUAAAAUCUUUAUUAAUUGCAAACAGUGCAAUUAUUUAUACUUCACAGUGCCUUCCCAGAUCUUCCACCUUAGGUUCUGCUGCAAAAAGCACAGUGCUGAAGAUGCUGCAAGCACCAAAUCAUAGCUCAUAAAAUCAGGUCCUGAGAUAGUUACUUCCAAUAAAGAGGAUUCCUUUGAGUGUAUGGCCAUGGUGAGCCGAUGAGCAUGGACCAUAGAAGGGCUCCAUGUGGAAGGUAAAAUUGGCAAAAACAAUACCGAUUUUAAAUGUAUCCCAUACUUAAUGGUGUAGGGUAUAAUUUGCCUGUUUUUAUCGCUUCUCAUUCUUUAAAGUGCUAUUUGCUUGACCAUAAAUGUUCCAUAAUUUGUUAUGUGGUAAUAAUAAAAAUUAUUUAUCAGUUUACACCUUGCUAAAUAGUCAAGCACGGAUAUGUUUUGCAUUUACAACUAAAUCAAUAGUUGUACUGGAAUUCCCUCGAGCCACUUCAUUUUAUUUUAGGGGGGGUUAUAUUUUGAUAUGUCAGAUUAAUUUUUAUAUGAAAACUAGCUAUGUGCUUAAGAGCUUCAUCUUGGUUGGAUUUUGUUUCACCAUUAUAAAAGAAAACUUGUUUUUUUCCUACUCCAUUUUUAAUAAAUUUAGCAUAAAUUGAAAUUUAACUCAAAGUCAAGAGAUGUAACAGGGAAAAAAGUUGUUGGCGUAGGAGGUGAAGAUCUGUGUUAAUAAUUUGUUUUGGUGGACCUAUAGGCAUCUUCUUGUACUGUAGCUUUUUAUUUUUGGUUUGUCCAAUUUCUUUCAAAGAUAGGGUUGGAUUGAAGUGUUCCAUUCUACUCACAAUAUGGAAACUUUGAGCCCAAUCCAUAGAUAGUAUUUUCUUGUGCAGUUUGUGUGUUAUAGCAGGAAAAAAAUAAUUGUAAAUUCUAAUUGAAUCCCAGGUUUAAAUGAAAGUAAUGAAUGUUUUAAAAGAGAGGAACAUCUUAAUUUCAACUAAUGUCUUUAGAUCAUCUUUUAGUAUGUGUUCUGUAUAGGAUAUUUGCUAGUUAAAAAGCAGUCUUUAUCUAGAGUUGUGUAAAUUACACUUCAGUGAUCUUACUAGCUAGGUAGGCUGUAUCAUUCACUAAUCCUUUCUUCUGAAAAUAUUGUCAGUUGGUGGGAUACAUUUCAUAAGUUUGAGGGUAGAAUUUUACAUUUUUCUUUGUGUACUAGGAUUUUUAUAAAGUAAAACAUUGGGUCCUACAGAAUAUGUACAACAGAUCCAUUUUUCUACUUGUAGUACCCUAUCAAACUCUUACAUUUAUGCAACCUUUAUCUUAAUAUGCAUGAAAGGCAUUUUCGUCCUGAGAUAGUGUUCUCUGCAGAAACUACCCGUGUUAAAAAAGAAGACUGUCUUUUAAAGGCUACUGUGAUGGGAAGUAUCUUAGGCAGAUGCAGCUUGGACGUGAGGUAAAUCCUACGCUUUCCAGUAUGUUGUGUUGAGCUUGCCUAUUGACAAUGUAUGUACUCAUGAAAAUACAUUAAUUGUACUGUUUUGUAUGAGUUCUCAAUAAAUGUAAACUAAUGGA